AUUGAACGCCGGCGGCAGGCUUAACACAUGCAAGUCGAGCGGGGUGAUGGUGCUUGCACUAUCACUCAGCGGCGGACGGGUGAGUAAUGCUUAGGAAUCUGCCUAUUAGUGGGGGACAACAUCUCGAAAGGGAUGCUAAUACCGCAUACGUCCUACGGGAGAAAGCAGGGGAUCACUUGUGACCUUGCGCUAAUAGAUGAGCCUAAGUCGGAUUAGCUAGUUGGUGGGGUAAAGGCCUACCAAGGCGACGAUCUGUAGCGGGUCUGAGAGGAUGAACCGCCACACGGGGACUGAGACACGGCCCCGGCUCCUACGGGAGGCAGCAGUGGGGAAUAUUGGACAAUGGGGGGAACCCUGAUCCAGCCAUGCCGCGUGUGUGAAGAAGGCCUUAUGGUUGUAAAGCACUUUAAGCGAGGAGGAGGCUCUUUUGGUUAAUACCCAAGAUGAGUGGACGUUACUCGCAGAAUAAGCACCGGCUAACUCUGUGCCAGCCGCCGCGGUAA
RNAcentral lists this ribosomal RNA (503 nucleotides) under uncultured bacterium. RNAcentral's name for it is "partial 16S ribosomal RNA". It matches the Rfam family "Bacterial small subunit ribosomal RNA", at positions 30 to 523 of the family's 1533-position model. The record is from RNAcentral.